GCGACCCCAGUUUAGGAGGGAUUACCCGCUGAGUUUA
This 37-nucleotide ribosomal RNA is filed under the name Capsicum frutescens (tabasco pepper). RNAcentral's name for it is "partial 28S ribosomal RNA". The record is from RNAcentral. Lineage: Eukaryota; Viridiplantae; Streptophyta; Magnoliopsida; Solanales; Solanaceae.